UCAUCCUGUUGCCGUGUCCCUGAAGACCCCCCCCUCUCGCCCUCUCGCUCCCGAUAUUUCCACGUCCUAAACCCGUGCGUGGAAUCGCGCGUGAGACCGUGCGUGGAGGUAAGUAAAGCUGUAGUUGACAAAUAAAGUAAUUUUUAUCAUGUAACAUCAAGUUGUAACACAUGGAAUUUUAUACAACCUUGCAGAAGGAUUUUCUGGGAUUUCAUAUAUCAAACCGUGGAAUUUUUAAUUUAAUCAAUAGU
Molecule: long non-coding RNA, 251 nt
Filed under: Physcomitrium patens
Lineage: Eukaryota; Viridiplantae; Streptophyta; Bryopsida; Funariales; Funariaceae
Description: long non-coding RNA (PPAT_LNC004805)
Source: RNAcentral